RNAcentral lists this ribosomal RNA (680 nucleotides) under Ectopseudomonas alcaliphila. Its description in RNAcentral is "bacterial SSU rRNA". It matches the Rfam family "Bacterial small subunit ribosomal RNA", at positions 79 to 755 of the family's 1533-position model. The record is from RNAcentral. Lineage: Bacteria; Pseudomonadati; Pseudomonadota; Gammaproteobacteria; Pseudomonadales; Pseudomonadaceae.
CUUGCUCCCUGAUUUAGCGGCGGACGGGUGAGUAAUGCCUAGGAAUCUGCCUGGUAGUGGGGGAUAACGUUCCGAAAGGAACGCUAAUACCGCAUACGUCCUACGGGAGAAAGCAGGGGACCUUCGGGCCUUGCGCUAUCAGAUGAGCCUAGGUCGGAUUAGCUAGUUGGUGAGGUAAUGGCUCACCAAGGCGACGAUCCGUAACUGGUCUGAGAGGAUGAUCAGUCACACUGGAACUGAGACACGGUCCAGACUCCUACGGGAGGCAGCAGUGGGGAAUAUUGGACAAUGGGCGAAAGCCUGAUCCAGCCAUGCCGCGUGUGUGAAGAAGGUCUUCGGAUUGUAAAGCACUUUAAGUUGGGAGGAAGGGCAUUAACCUAAUACGUUAGUGUUUUGACGUUACCAACAGAAUAAGCACCGGCUAACUUCGUGCCAGCAGCCGCGGUAAUACGAAGGGUGCAAGCGUUAAUCGGAAUUACUGGGCGUAAAGCGCGCGUAGGUGGUUCGUUAAGUUGGAUGUGAAAGCCCCGGGCUCAACCUGGGAACUGCAUCCAAAACUGGCGAGCUAGAGUACGGUAGAGGGUGGUGGAAUUUCCUGUGUAGCGGUGAAAUGCGUAGAUAUAGGAAGGAACACCAGUGGCGAAGGCGACCACCUGGACUGAUACUGACACUGAGGUGCG